RNAcentral lists this long non-coding RNA (205 nucleotides) under Solanum tuberosum (potato). RNAcentral's name for it is "long non-coding RNA (STUB_LNC011217)". Lineage: Eukaryota; Viridiplantae; Streptophyta; Magnoliopsida; Solanales; Solanaceae. The record is from RNAcentral.
AGAGGCGUAUUCAGGAUUUAUAGAUAAUGGGUGCACUAUUACAAAAAGGUGGAUCUAAGACAUAAAUUUGAUCGGUUAGAUUCUUUUUACUGAAAACCAUUAAAAUUUUAAAAUCAUAGGUCCAAAAUUAACUUUUAUUUAUCCAAACUAGUUACAAAAUCUUAGAAAGAAAACUAAAACAAGAUAAAUAAAAGAUUCAAAUUUC